Molecule: ribosomal RNA, 432 nt
Filed under: uncultured bacterium
Lineage: Bacteria
Description: partial 16S ribosomal RNA
Rfam family: Bacterial small subunit ribosomal RNA
Source: RNAcentral
ACGCACGCUGGCGGCAUGCCUAACCCAUGCAAGUCGAACGAGACCUUCGGGUCUAGUGGCGCACGGGUGCGUCACGCGUGGGAACCUGCCCUUAGGUUCGGAAUAACUCCCCGAAAGGGGUGCUAAUACCGGAUAAUGUCUUCGGACCAAAGAUUUAUCACCUUUGGAUGGGCCCGCGUUGGAUUAGCUAGUUGGUAGGGUAAAAGCCUACCAAGGCGACGAUCCAUAGCUGGUCUGAGAGGAUGAUCAGCCACACUGGGACUGAGACACGGCCCAGACUCCUACGGGAGGCAGCAGUGGGGAAUAUUGGACAAUGGGCGAAAGCCUGAUCCAGCAAUGCCGCGUGAGUGAUGAAGGCCUUAGGGUUGUAAAGCUCUUUUACCCGGGAUGAUAAUGACAGUACCGGGAGAAUAAGCUCCGGCUAACUCCGUG